This 236-nucleotide long non-coding RNA is filed under the name Lathyrus oleraceus (garden pea). RNAcentral describes it as "Pisum sativum (pea) long non-coding RNA (PSAT_LNC029201)". Lineage: Eukaryota; Viridiplantae; Streptophyta; Magnoliopsida; Fabales; Fabaceae. The record is from RNAcentral.
UAAUAUCUCAUGUCUAGGUAGAGGAUACGACCUGCUCUGAUACCAAUUGUAACACCCACAUAUAAUACAUGUCUAGAAUACAUAUUAUACAUAGUGCAAUACUGGUACUGAAAUACAUAAGCGCCUAGCGGCAACAAUGUACAUUUUUACAUGCUCAAAAGAAAACAUUACAUGACACAAAAACUACACAAAAGUGCCCAAAAUAAACCACAUGGGAACUAGAAAAUAUCUACACA